Bacillus solimangrovi is the source of this 136-nucleotide regulatory RNA element. It matches the Rfam family "PyrR binding site". Rfam says of the family: This family represents the PyrR binding site and terminator structure. This RNA structure is found upstream of a variety of genes involved in pyrimidine biosynthesis and transport. The alignment also includes a portion of the antiterminator structure. The record is from Rfam. Lineage: Bacteria; Bacillati; Bacillota; Bacilli; Caryophanales; Bacillaceae.
AUCCCCUUUAAUCAAGUCCUGUGAGGCUUGCAAGGGAACGAUUGUGAGUGUAAUAGUAUGUGUGGUUUAAGCCACACAUCUAUACUCAUGCCGUCAACCUCUUUGCAAGCAUCUCCGAGCAAAGAGGUUUUUUAUU